This 61-nucleotide ribosomal RNA is filed under the name Enterobacter cloacae subsp. cloacae. Its description in RNAcentral is "partial 23S ribosomal RNA". Lineage: Bacteria; Pseudomonadati; Pseudomonadota; Gammaproteobacteria; Enterobacterales; Enterobacteriaceae. The record is from RNAcentral.
GUUGUGAGGUUAAGCGACUAUGCGUACUCGGUGGAUGCCCUGGCAGUCAGAGGCGAUGAAG